AGAGUUUGAUCAUGGCUCAGGACGAACGCUGGCGGCGUGCUUAACACAUGCAAGUCGAACGGAAAGGCCCUUUCGGGGGUACUCGAGUGGCGAACGGGUGAGUAACACGUGGGUGAUCUGCCCUGCACUUCGGGAUAAGCUUGGGAAACUGGGUCUAAUACCGGAUAGGACUACGAAUCGCAUGGUUUGUGGUGGAAAGCUUUUGCGGUGUGGGAUGGGCCCGCGGCCUAUCAGCUUGUUGGUGGGGUGAUGGCCUACCAAGGCGACGACGGGUAGCCGGCCUGAGAGGGUGUCCGGCCACACUGGGACUGAGAUACGGCCCAGACUCCUACGGGAGGCAGCAGUGGGGAAUAUUGCACAAUGGGCGCAAGCCUGAUGCAGCGACGCCGCGUGGGGGAUGACGGCCUUCGGGUUGUAAACCUCUUUCACCAUCGGCGAAGCCCAUGAUUUUUGUUGUGGGUGACGGUAGGUGGAGAAGAAGCACCGGCCAACUACGUGCCAGCCGCCGCGGUAAUAC
Molecule: ribosomal RNA, 517 nt
Filed under: uncultured bacterium
Lineage: Bacteria
Description: bacterial SSU rRNA
Rfam family: Bacterial small subunit ribosomal RNA
Source: RNAcentral